CCGCUCCUCACGCCCCGGGCUGCGGGCGGCGGCCGGAAGCGCUGCCGAGCUAGCUCCGCCCCGCACUGCCGUCGCAGCGGAAAUGGCGUCACACAGCGCGACGGGCGUUGCUAGGCAACCGGGCGCCCGCGCCGGCUUACAACAAUUAACGCGCUCAUCCUUUAUUUAUCUGUUCACAUCAGUCCUGAGAGAGCACGCUGAGGGGACAGCGCAUCUUUAUUAAAAAACCCGCAGUGACGUGCAGUGACAGCACGGCACCUGCGCACAUAUACAUCCGCGUACGCUUUCCUAAAGAGAUACCGUGUGAUGCAGUCACAACUUUUCUUUCAAAAUAACGACCAGAACCCAAGCAACAAUGCGAGCCUCCAGUAAGCCAUGAAACUUCUCUCAGUAGCUGAGAGUCACCACCACUGCCUGACUCCCACAAAGGUUACAGUUCAUAGUGUAGCACUGGAGAAAGCAGGAAAGAUGACAUGCUGCUGCAGCACUACUGACUGUGAACACAUCCAGACUGCCUCCAGCACAAUGCCAGCAGUAGAACUUGAGACACCGAAGGCCACAUUCUCAGCUUCCGUAAAGCCUCAGCCCUAUCUCCUCUGGCCUGCAAAAGCCAAAAGGCACUAAAAAAAGUCAGGCAAGCAGUGUUUCCAAACACAUGCCAGACACCUGACUUUAAAACUAAUUAAAACUUCAAAUCAAAGAAGUCUGAGGCAUCCUGAUGCUUGAUCUUAACAUUUGUUCCU
This 743-nucleotide long non-coding RNA is filed under the name Gallus gallus (chicken). RNAcentral describes it as "long non-coding RNA NONGGAT005736". The record is from RNAcentral. Lineage: Eukaryota; Metazoa; Chordata; Aves; Galliformes; Phasianidae.